Long non-coding RNA from Brassica napus (rape), 1870 nucleotides. RefSeq lists it as uncharacterized. The transcript has 9 exons. The record is from RefSeq and is a predicted model, not a curated record. NCBI's taxonomy places the organism in Eukaryota, Viridiplantae, Streptophyta, Magnoliopsida, Brassicales, Brassicaceae.
UCCCAAAAAAAAAACUUCUCUCUCUCGACAAAUCUCACUUCUUAUCUUCUCCGAUGUAUAUCUCCCUCUCACUUUCUCCAGAUCUUACUUCUCUUCUCCAACAAUUCUCACUUCUCCUCUUCUUUCAAAAAUCAUUUUAGGGUAUUGUGUUCUCUCUGUGUUUCAAUAAAUCUAGGGUUUCUCAUUCCCUUUCUUUCCUAGGGUCUGAGACACGAGAGACAGAAGAAAAGAGAGACGAGACGAAAUUGAGAUAGAGAGGAGAGAGAGCUCCGGUCGUGUCUUGCUUCGUCCCCGAUAACCAUAGAUUGGGUUGGGUUGGGUGGGGUCUUGCUUUGUCUCCGCCGUUUUUGCCUCAGCUUCAUAGAUCCGCCGUGUUCAAGUUCCGCCGCUGCUUGUACCUUUUUCAGCACUCGUCUCGAGAGAAGAGUUUGAGUCAAGCGAUAAGAGAAGGCAGACGAUGGAGACAAUGGAAGAGACACCCUGCCACUCGAGCUGGCAAUCUAAGAGGAGAUGGAGACGGGGAGAAGAAGAAGAGCCGGAGAAAACAGAGGUGGAGUUUCAGAUUCAAAACGAGAGAAAACACAAGAGCAAGGAAGAAGAAGAUGAGAAUGACAAAGUGGCUGUAGGCGAGGAACUCAGAUCUAGAGGCGUGUGUCUGCGAGAAGUUAUGAAUAUACACAAGAUCUUGAUUCUUAUGAGGAAGCUUUGUUGAUUUCUCAAGACCUGUUUGUUUAAUUGCUUUAAAGAAUCAACUUUAUGCUGCUGUUGGUUCUCUGUUACUAACUCCCAUCUUCUUCUUCUCUAGUAAGUAGUGGUCAUCUCAUUCUUCUUUGGAUAUAUUAAUCUUCAAUAGUCUUCUUGCCUUCUUGUUUGCGGUUUAGUAGUGUUUGAUUUUUUUUUUGCAGUUAAAGAAGUGAAACAUAAAGUAGAAGAAGAAGAAGACAAACAUGGAGAUGAUGUUGAACUGAAUCUACUCUACAUUGUACAUUCUGACAUCUCAUCUCUUCUUCACCAGGUCCUUGCUUACUUCCUGCUCUUUUCCACACAAACCAUAAGAAUGCCUGCUGCUGGUGGAAUGGCGAGUGAAGAAGUUGGCGAGGAAGUACCUUUUAUUCUAUGGUUUACUAGUGUCUUUUGCUCCUUGGUUUGUGUAACAUGAUUUUAUUACUGACUGUGCCUUGUACAUUUCUGUUUGCAGGUACGUCUCUGUCUUUCAAUGAUUAAAUCAAGAGUUUAUGUUAAUUGAACAUAUUAAGGACUACUUUCAGAGCAGCAACAAAGUCAGAAACUUCAAAUUGAUGGCUCUCCAAUCUGAUAACAUCACAGUCAAUAGAGUUGAGAGUCUUCUCAAAAAACACCAAACCUUUUACUGACCGGAUCACCGCUGAGUACAUCUGGACGAGCACCUGGAGAAGAUACUGAAGUGAUUCUCUAGUAAGAAUUUUCUCAAGUGUUGGUACUAAAUGAAGCUGAGAAGCUCUCACGAGAAGCACACUUGCCGUCUCAUCUUAUGCUGUAACAGUUCUGACAGUCCCUCAGCAAGAUGACCGGUGGUAGGCGGUUUAAUACGUAUAACGCUUAUACAACCGUAGACGAGAAAGCUCUAACUGCAUAAAACCUUAAGGUUCUUGGAACACCAACUCUGGAGAUUAUCAAGGUGCAUCCCCCUAUGCUCUGUGUGAGAUACAGGCUAAGGCCAAGAAGAAAAUAGGAGCAAGGUUUUGAUUUAGUUCCCUUGUUUUCUAGUCCCUUUAUUAUUAGUUCUGAUUUUAUAAUGAUGUUUGUGUAAGAUUUGAUGAAAAUGUAGACAUGUUUGUGGUAUUGAUGUAAGUACAUUUUGGUUUAUUAAUGAAAUAUAAAUUGAAUAUUA